Molecule: ribosomal RNA, 253 nt
Filed under: uncultured bacterium
Lineage: Bacteria
Description: partial 16S ribosomal RNA
Rfam family: Bacterial small subunit ribosomal RNA
Source: RNAcentral
UACGAGGGGCCCAAACAUUAUUCGGAAUUACUGGGCUUAAAGAGUUCGUAGGCGGCAUGGUAAGUAGGGUGUGAAAUCCCUCGGCUCAACCGAGGAAUUGCGCUCUAAACUACCGUGCUAGAGGAAGCUAGAGGUGAGCGGAACUGAUGGUGGAGCGGUGAAAUGCGUUGAUAUCAUCAGGAACACCGGAGGCGAAGGCGGCUCACUGGGGCUUUUCUGACGCUGAGGAACGAAAGCCAGGGUAGCGAACGGG